This 1489-nucleotide ribosomal RNA is filed under the name uncultured organism. Its description in RNAcentral is "SSU rRNA". It matches the Rfam family "Bacterial small subunit ribosomal RNA". The record is from RNAcentral.
GGCGGCGUGCCUAAUACAUGCAAGUCGAACGAGUUCUGAUUAUUGAAAGGUGCUUGCAUCUUGAUUUAAUUUUGAACGAGUGGCGGACGGGUGAGUAACACGUGGGUAACCUGCCCUUAAGUGGGGGAUAACAUUUGGAAACAGAAGCUAAUACCGCAUAAAUCCAAGAACCGCAUGGUUCUUGGCUGAAAGAUGGCGUAAGCUAUCGCUUUUGGAUGGACCCGCGGCGUAUUAGCUAGUUGGUGAGGUAACGGCUCACCAAGGCAAUGAUACGUAGCCGAACUGAGAGGUUGAUCGGCCACAUUGGGACUGAGACACGGCCCAAACUCCUACGGGAGGCAGCAGUAGGGAAUCUUCCACAAUGGACGCAAGUCUGAUGGAGCAACGCCGCGUGAGUGAAGAAGGCUUUCGGGUCGUAAAACUCUGUUGUUGGAGAAGAAUGGUCGGCAGAGUAACUGUUGUCGGCGUGACGGUAUCCAACCAGAAAGCCACGGCUAACUACGUGCCAGCAGCCGCGGUAAUACGUAGGUGGCAAGCGUUAUCCGGAUUUAUUGGGCGUAAAGCGAGCGCAGGCGGUUUUUUAAGUCUGAUGUGAAAGCCCUCGGCUUAACCGAGGAAGUGCAUCGGAAACUGGGAAACUUGAGUGCAGAAGAGGACAGUGGAACUCCAUGUGUAGCGGUGAAAUGCGUAGAUAUAUGGAAGAACACCAGUGGCGAAGGCGGCUGUCUGGUCUGUAACUGACGCUGAGGCUCGAAAGCAUGGGUAGCGAACAGGAUUAGAUACCCUGGUAGUCCAUGCCGUAAACGAUGAAUGCUAGGUGUUGGAGGGUUUCCGCCCUUCAGUGCCGCAGCUAACGCAUUAAGCAUUCCGCCUGGGGAGUACGACCGCAAGGUUGAAACUCAAAGGAAUUGACGGGGGCCCGCACAAGCGGUGGAGCAUGUGGUUUAAUUCGAAGCAACGCGAAGAACCUUACCAGGUCUCGACAUCUUUUGAUCACCUGAGAGAUCAGGUUUCCCCUUCGGGGGCAAAAUGACAGGUGGUGCAUGGUUGUCGUCAGCUCGUGUCGUGAGAUGUUGGGUUAAGUCCCGCAACGAGCGCAACCCUUAUGACUAGUUGCCAGCAUUUAGUUGGGCACUCUAGUAAGACUGCUGGUGACAAACCGGAGGAAGGCGGGGAUGACGUCAAAUCAUCAUGCCCCUUAUGACCAGGGCUACACACGUGCUACAAUGGAUGGUACAACGAGUUGCGAGACCGCGAGGUCAAGCUAAUCUCUUAAAGCCAUUCUCAGUUCGGACUGUAGGCUGCAACUCGCCUACACGAAGUCGGAAUCGCUAGUAAUCGCGGAUCAGCACGCCGCGGUGAAUACGUUCCCGGGCCUUGUACACACCGCCCGUCACACCAUGAGAGUUUGUAACACCCGAAGCCGGUGGCGUAACCCUUUUAGGGAGCGAGCCGUCUAAGGUGGGACAAAUGAUUAGGGUGAAGUCAU